ACGGGAGGCAGCAGUGAGGAAUAUUGGUCAAUGGGCGAGAGCCUGAACCAGCCAAGUAGCGUGAAGGAUGACUGCCCUAUGGGUUGUAAACUUCUUUUGUUUGGGAAUAAAGUGAGCCACGUGUGGCUUUUUGUAUGUACCUUACGAAUAAGCAUCGGCUAAUUCCGUGCCAGCAGCCGCGGUAAUACGGAAGAUGCGAGCGUUAUCCGGAUUUAUUGGGUUUAAAGGGAGCGUAGGCGGACUGGUAAGUCUGCGGUCAAAUGUCAGGGCCCAACCUUGGCAUGCCGUGGAUACUGUCGGUCUUGAAUGCACACAAGGAUGGUGGAAUUCGUCGUGUAGCGGUGAAAUGCUUAGAUAUGACGAAGAACUCCGAUUGCGAAGGCAGCCGUCUGGGGUGUGAUUGACGCUGAGGCUCGAAAGCGCGGGUAUCAAACAGGAUUAGAUACCCUGGUA
This 453-nucleotide ribosomal RNA is filed under the name uncultured Paraprevotella sp. Its description in RNAcentral is "bacterial SSU rRNA". It matches the Rfam family "Bacterial small subunit ribosomal RNA", at positions 341 to 792 of the family's 1533-position model. Lineage: Bacteria; Pseudomonadati; Bacteroidota; Bacteroidia; Bacteroidales; Prevotellaceae. The record is from RNAcentral.